RNAcentral lists this ribosomal RNA (253 nucleotides) under uncultured bacterium. RNAcentral's name for it is "partial 16S ribosomal RNA". It matches the Rfam family "Bacterial small subunit ribosomal RNA", at positions 524 to 776 of the family's 1533-position model. The record is from RNAcentral.
UACAGAGGGGGCAAGCGUUGUUCGGAAUUACUGGGCGUAAAGCGUGCGCAGGCGGUUUCUUAAGUCAGAUGUGAAAGCCCCGGGCUUAACCUGGGAACUGCGUUUGAAACUGGGAGACUUGAGUGUGGCAGAGGGGGGUGGAAUUCCACGUGUAGCAGUGAAAUGCGUAGAUAUGUGGAGGAACACCGAUGGCGAAGGCAGCCCCCUGGGUUAACACUGACGCUCAUGCACGAAAGCGUGGGGAGCAAACAGG